UAAUUUUUUUUUUUUAUUUAUUUUUUUUUGAACACACAAAAUUAAUUUUAUUAUAUAGUAAUAUAUUAGCAAUUACACCUAACCAAUUACACAAGUGUAAAAAAAAAAAAUUGAAGCUUACAUUAUAUAAACAUGCACAAUUUUGUUCAAUAUUUCAUUAUAUAACAUGUAAUAUUUGUGACUAUGACUUUUAACUUUUUUAAUAUAUAUUAGUUUAGAAAUUAUAAUCCUUUUUAGUACACCAUCUAGUUUUUGUGUUAUUAGCUAAAUGAAUCAAAUUAACCAUAGUGAGGAAGAAGAACGUGACACUUUCAUGAGAUGUGCAAAGAUAGUGGAAAACAAGAUAAAGCCCGUAGAAGAGUUGGGGCCAAAGAAACAGCUUACAAUUUCUGCAUAGUUUCAAUACAAGCAAAGAUCAUAAUAUAAGUAUAUUAUGUGCUAUGGUUCACUAGAAAUACACAGAAUUUCUGAUUUUUUUUGUCAAUGUGGUUUAUGUUGUUUGAACAUGGGCUUGGUAGAUUUAGAGACAGUGGAAGUCGAAGAGGUUGGAACUGAUCACUCCGCUUUAUGUUUGUGCUUUUCUUGUCUUUUACGGCUCAGUGAUUUUCAUUUUCUACUUUAAUUAUGCCUUGGCUCUUUUUCUGAAACAUACAUUGGCAUCAAAACAUGUAAAAUAACAUUUGAUUAAUUAUUAUUAGUUCUAUCAAAAUACUGAUAAGAGUUGAAUUUAUGUCAUUUUUGUAUUGAUUUCUUUUCUUUUCUUCUUUUUGCUUAACUGUAUUAAGGUUUAUGGACACUUUAUAUGUUUAUUUGUAAGAUAGUUGUCUCUUCUUGAUGCAAAGAUUGAUGACAAAUGUCCUCAUGACAUAAUGAGGUGACAAGUAGAAGACCAUCAAUGAAGCAACGAAGGAGGUUGGUCUUUUUGUGGAUGAGGUUUCAGAUGAGAAGGAGGAGAAGGAGAUCAUGCAUGCUUUACCAAGGAGGAAGCGUCGGAGGACGAAGUGUAAACACUCCUUUCACCAGUUGUGGCGGUAGUGACGGUGGUGGCGCCGGCGGUAAUGAUCCCCUACCGGGGAUAAUGAUCCUUUAAUUUAUGCUCCAUAUUUUAUUCAAAUAUAAAAAUACUAGUAUCACAAAAGAGUAAAGAAGGUAAAGUAUGUUUUUAACUUUAAAGUAUGUUGUAAGCCACAUUUAAAGUUUUUACUAUUUCC
Brassica rapa (field mustard) is the source of this 1211-nucleotide long non-coding RNA. RefSeq lists it as uncharacterized. NCBI's taxonomy places the organism in Eukaryota, Viridiplantae, Streptophyta, Magnoliopsida, Brassicales, Brassicaceae. The record is from RefSeq and is a predicted model, not a curated record.